GGUCAUGAGCGCCAGCGACAAGCCCCGGCUUGCUGGCCGGCAACCCUCCUCCGCGGUGGGGUGCCCCGGGUGAGGACCUGGCCUGAUCGCCCGUACGUCGGGUGACCAGGCAAGCGCGGACG
Molecule: non-coding RNA, 122 nt
Filed under: Branchiibius sp. NY16-3462-2
Lineage: Bacteria; Bacillati; Actinomycetota; Actinomycetes; Micrococcales; Dermacoccaceae
Also listed under: 1 other name
Description: SAM (S-adenosyl methionine) riboswitch aptamer
Rfam family: SAM (S-adenosyl methionine) riboswitch aptamer
About the family: SAM-IV is a mRNA element that regulates gene expression via direct sensing of S-adenosylmethionine (SAM or AdoMet).
Source: Rfam by way of RNAcentral